GUUAAAACGUUGAUAAGGAGAGUAAAGAUUUACUUCCUUUUUAGAGAAAACCUCCAUUGGCUGAAAGAGGUUUAUGUGAAGUAAUUCUUGAAAUGCACCUUUGAGUCUUUUGCUAAACGUCCACACGUGAUUAGUAAGUAAAAGCGUAUCGCUCUACGUUAAAGAGCCAAAGUUGAGGUCAUGAGGCGUCUUAGUGCGUGAUUAAGCUUCUCAUACCUAAACAGAGUGGAACCGCGCAUAACAAGCGUCUCUGUA
This 255-nucleotide non-coding RNA is filed under the name Metabacillus litoralis. Its description in RNAcentral is "Bacillus litoralis T-box sequence". It matches the Rfam family "T-box leader". Rfam says of the family: Uncharged tRNA acts as the effector for transcription antitermination of genes in the T-box leader family. Lineage: Bacteria; Bacillati; Bacillota; Bacilli; Caryophanales; Bacillaceae. The record is from RNAcentral.